RNAcentral lists this ribosomal RNA (769 nucleotides) under Microbacterium sp. Its description in RNAcentral is "bacterial SSU rRNA". It matches the Rfam family "Bacterial small subunit ribosomal RNA", at positions 56 to 843 of the family's 1533-position model. The record is from RNAcentral. Lineage: Bacteria; Bacillati; Actinomycetota; Actinomycetes; Micrococcales; Microbacteriaceae.
UGCAGUCGAACGGUGAACACGGAGCUUGCUCUGUGGGAUCAGUGGCGAACGGGUGAGUAACACGUGAGCAACCUGCCCCUGACUCUGGGAUAAGCGCUGGAAACGGCGUCUAAUACUGGAUAUGUGACGUGACCGCAUGGUCUGCGUCUGGAAAGAAUUUCGGUUGGGGAUGGGCUCGCGGCCUAUCAGCUUGUUGGUGAGGUAAUGGCUCACCAAGGCGUCGACGGGUAGCCGGCCUGAGAGGGUGACCGGCCACACUGGGACUGAGACACGGCCCAGACUCCUACGGGAGGCAGCAGUGGGGAAUAUUGCACAAUGGGCGCAAGCCUGAUGCAGCAACGCCGCGUGAGGGACGACGGCCUUCGGGUUGUAAACCUCUUUUAGCAGGGAAGAAGCGAAAGUGACGGUACCUGCAGAAAAAGCGCCGGCUAACUACGUGCCAGCAGCCGCGGUAAUACGUAGGGCGCAAGCGUUAUCCGGAAUUAUUGGGCGUAAAGAGCUCGUAGGCGGUUUGUCGCGUCUGCUGUGAAAUCCGGAGGCUCAACCUCCGGCCUGCAGUGGGUACGGGCAGACUAGAGUGCGGUGGGGGAGAUUGGAAUUCCUGGUGUAGCGGUGGAAUGCGCAGAUAUCAGGAGGAACACCGAUGGCGAAGGCAGAUCUCUGGGCCGUAACUGACGCUGAGGAGCGAAAGGGUGGGGAGCAAACAGGCUUAGAUACCCUGGUAGUCCACCCCGUAACGUUGGGAACUAGGUUGUGGGGUCCAUUCCAC